Molecule: ribosomal RNA, 253 nt
Filed under: uncultured bacterium
Lineage: Bacteria
Description: partial 16S ribosomal RNA
Rfam family: Bacterial small subunit ribosomal RNA
Source: RNAcentral
GACGAACCGUGCGAACGUUGUUCGGAAUAACUGGGCAUAAAGGGCGCGUAGGCGGGCCACAAAGUCAGGGGUGAAAUCCCACGGCUCAAUCGUGGAAGUGCCUUUGAUACUGGUGGCCUGGAGGGAGGCAGGGGAGUGCGGAACUUCCGGUGGAGCGGUGAAAUGCGUAGAUAUCGGAAGGAACACCGGUGGCGAAAGCGGCGCUCUGGACCUCUACUGACGCUGAGGCGCGAAAGCCAGGGGAGCAAACGGG